This 487-nucleotide long non-coding RNA is filed under the name Papio anubis (olive baboon). RNAcentral describes it as "lncRNA (ENSPANG00000049089.1)". The record is from RNAcentral. Lineage: Eukaryota; Metazoa; Chordata; Mammalia; Primates; Cercopithecidae.
ACCAAGUCUGUUUCAACUUGUUUCUAAUUUGUGAGUAAGCUCUUCAAUAUGUUCUAAAACAAUUAGCCACUAUCCAUAAAUAAUCACAGUUGGAAUAGAUAAUUAAACAAACAAAAAGUCUCAUUUCUCUCAUUGCAGGUGUGAACAAGGUCCAUCAAAUGUGUAACUUACUUCUCCAAACUCUACAGAUAUCUCACAAUAUCAUAAGAGUUGGAACUUAAGUUUCAAAGAGAUGGAAGCAAAGUGACACCAAAAAUAUCCUAAAAUUGAACCAGAAUAAUGGGAAGCCUCCAGAAACAAAGCAUUUGGACUCAGGCAAAUGCUGAUGCGGAUGAAGUUUGCCUUUGUUCCUUCUGCACCGUCCUUUCCAGCAUCACUUUCUCCUGAAGGUCCCGUGUGCGUAGACAGCAGUGUCUCAGAAAAAAAAGUAUGGAUUGACUUCUUAAUAUGUCUCCAAACAGCACAGGCUUGGACAUAACAAUAAGAC